AUUGAACGCUGGCGGCAGGCCUAACACAUGCAAGUCGAACGGUAACAGGAAGAAGCUUGCUUCUUUGCUGACGAGUGGCGGACGGGUGAGUAAUGUCUGGGAAACUGCCUGAUGGAGGGGGAUAACUACUGGAAACGGUAGCUAAUACCGCAUAACGUCGCAAGACCAAAAAGGGGGACCUUCGGGCCUCUUGCCAUCGGAUGUGCCCAGAUGGGAUUAGCUAGUAGGUGGGGUAACGGCUCACCUAGGCGACGAUCCCUAGCUGGUCUGAGAGGAUGAGCAGCCACACUGGAACUGAGACACGGUCCAGACUCCUACGGGAGGCAGCAGUGGGGAAUAUUGCACAAUGGGCGCAAGCCUGAUGCAGCCAUGCCGCGUGUAUGAAGAAGGCCUUCGGGUUGUAAAGUACUUUCAGCGGGGAGGAAGGGAGUAAAGUUAAUACCUUUGCUCAUUGACGUUACCCGCAGAAGAAGCACCGGCUAACUCCGUG
RNAcentral lists this ribosomal RNA (490 nucleotides) under uncultured bacterium. RNAcentral describes it as "partial 16S ribosomal RNA". It matches the Rfam family "Bacterial small subunit ribosomal RNA", at positions 30 to 507 of the family's 1533-position model. The record is from RNAcentral.